CAGAAGAAUCUUCUCAAGCUGGUGCAAUAGGUGGCGGUUUUGCUGCUGUUAUAAUAGUGUUAAUAGUUGUGGUGGCAUUUAUAGUUUACAAACGCAGAUUUUUGUUAACAAAAGAUUCGAGGAAGGAAACAAAUACGGGAAACGAUUAUGCAAAUGAAAAUGCAGCAGUAGUAUUUGAUGCACAGGAGGUCAAUGUGUCCUUGAAAGACAGAAGACAGAAUGGACUUCAAAUAGAAGACUAUGGAGAUGGAAACGUGUACAAUAAUGUACCUAGUAAACACAACGUUUUCAAAUACAAGAUACUUGUUGAAGAUCUGAAAGAGGCUAUAAAUGAGAAACAGAAA
Long non-coding RNA from Mytilus trossulus (common blue mussel), 344 nucleotides. RefSeq lists it as uncharacterized. NCBI's taxonomy places the organism in Eukaryota, Metazoa, Mollusca, Bivalvia, Mytilida, Mytilidae. The record is from RefSeq and is a predicted model, not a curated record. The transcript has 3 exons.